GGCCUAAUACAUGCAAGUCGAACGGUUGUCAGCAAUGACAAUAGUGGCGCACGGGUGCGUAACGCGUAACCAACCUACCUGAAUCUGGGGGAUAGCCCGCCGAAAGGCGGAUUAAUACCGCAUAAAACUGCAAUUCGGCAUCGGACAACAGUUAAAGAUUUAUUGGAUUCAGAUGGGGUUGCGUGUCAUUAGCUAGUUGGAGAGGUAACGGCUCACCAAGGCGACGAUGGCUAGGGGAGCUGAGAGGCUGGUCCCCCACACGGGCACUGAGAUACGGGCCCGACUCCUACGGGAGGCAGCAGUAGGGAAUAUUGGGCAAUGGUCGAGAGACUGACCCAGCCAUGCCGCGUGCAGGAUGAAGGCUUUCUGAGUCGUAAACUGCUUUUACCAGGGAAGAAAAAAGGGGAUGCGUCCUCUACUGACGGUACCUGGUGAAUAAGCACCGGCUAACUCCGUGCCAGCAGCCGCGGUAAUACGGAGGGUGCAAGCGUUGUCCGGAUUUAUUGGGUUUAAAGGGUGCGUAGGCGGCUGAUUAAGUCUGGGGUGAAAGCCCGUUGCUCAACAACGGAACUGCCCUGGAAACUGGUUAGCUUGAGUACAGACGAGGGUGGCGGAAUGGAUACUGUAGCGGUGAAAUGCAUAGAUAGUAUCCAGAACCCCGAUUGCGAAGGCAGCUGCCUAGACUGUAACUGACGCUGAGGCACGAAAGCGUGGGGAGCGAACAGGAUUAGAUACCCUGGUAGUCCACGCCGUAAACGAUGGAUACUCGCUGGUGGCGAUAGACGGUCACUGGCUUAGCGAAAGCGUUAAGUAUCCCACCUGGGGAGUACGCUCGCAAGAGUGAAACUCAAAAGAAUUGACGGGGGCCCGCACAAGUGGUGGAGCAUGUGGUUUAAUUCG
RNAcentral lists this ribosomal RNA (900 nucleotides) under uncultured bacterium. Its description in RNAcentral is "bacterial SSU rRNA". It matches the Rfam family "Bacterial small subunit ribosomal RNA", at positions 45 to 953 of the family's 1533-position model. The record is from RNAcentral.